This 83-nucleotide transfer RNA is filed under the name Rhodobacter capsulatus. Its description in RNAcentral is "tRNA-Leu". It matches the Rfam family "tRNA". Rfam says of the family: Transfer RNA (tRNA) molecules are approximately 80 nucleotides in length. Their secondary structure includes four short double-helical elements and three loops (D, anti-codon, and T loops). RNAcentral also lists the same sequence under 7 other names. The record is from RNAcentral. Lineage: Bacteria; Pseudomonadati; Pseudomonadota; Alphaproteobacteria; Rhodobacterales.
GCGGGUGUGGCGAAACUGGUAGACGCACCAGAUUUAGGUUCUGGCGCCUUGGCGUGGGGGUUCGAGUCCCUUCACCCGCACCA